Molecule: ribosomal RNA, 493 nt
Filed under: uncultured bacterium
Lineage: Bacteria
Description: bacterial SSU rRNA
Rfam family: Bacterial small subunit ribosomal RNA
Source: RNAcentral
UCCUGGCUCAGAUUGAACGCUGGCGGCAUGCCUUACACAUGCAAGUCGAACGGCAGCGGACCUUCGGGUGCCGGCGAGUGGCGAACGGGUGAGUAAUAUAUCGGAACGUACCUUUCAGUGGGGGAUAACGUAGCGAAAGUUACGCUAAUACCGCAUAUUCUGUGAGCAGGAAAGCAGGGGAUCGCAAGACCUUGCGCUGAUUGAGCGGCCGAUAUCAGAUUAGCUAGUUGGUGAGGUAAAGGCUCACCAAGGCGACGAUCUGUAGCGGGUCUGAGAGGAUGAUCCGCCACACUGGAACUGAGACACGGUCCAGACUCCUACGGGAGGCAGCAGUGGGGAAUUUUGGACAAUGGGGGCAACCCUGAUCCAGCCAUGCCGCGUGAGUGAAGAAGGCCUUCGGGUUGUAAAGCUCUUUCGGCCGGGAAGAAAUCGCACAGGUUAAUACCCUGUGUGGAUGACGGUACCGGAAUAAGAAGCACCGGCUAACUACGUG